This 546-nucleotide ribosomal RNA is filed under the name Triticum aestivum (bread wheat). RNAcentral's name for it is "partial small subunit ribosomal RNA". Lineage: Eukaryota; Viridiplantae; Streptophyta; Magnoliopsida; Poales; Poaceae. The record is from RNAcentral.
AUGAGCCCACCAGACCCACCACUCCCAGUCAAGAACAAGAGGCAAGUAUUCAUUGUUCACUCGAUUGAGACCAAUCAAGCAAUUAUUUUGGCUGCCAACAAAGGCAACCGCAUAAACGACUUGAUUUCACGCCCUGCUGCUAUGGAUUCUGUCUCACAUUGCCUCAGAUGCUUUGUUUGUCCUUCCACAAACCCUCUCUCAAAUCCAUCUGAGCCCAACACUAAUCUGCAGAUUGCACCAAUGGCCACUUUCCCUUUUGAUCCGACCACCUUCAUUCCUCGCAACUUCCAAAGCAUUGUCAUUGAGGCCAGACCGGCUAGGGUUCAUGUUCUGGCUAGAGCGGCACCUGCCACACAUGAAGAGUGGGUGAUUGCAACAAUUGUGCCGAUGCCUAAUCUCCUAGUCCAGUUUGCUACUGUGAGAAUGUUACUUUCUGAUUUUCUGGCUAGAGUUAAGCAUAUGGGUUUUUCUAAAAUUUCCCCAUGCUCUUUCGGGCAAGCAUAUGUCAAGAUGGAUAGUGUCUUUAAUAGAGAUGAGCUGGUGUAG